RNAcentral lists this ribosomal RNA (429 nucleotides) under uncultured bacterium. Its description in RNAcentral is "bacterial SSU rRNA". It matches the Rfam family "Bacterial small subunit ribosomal RNA", at positions 46 to 471 of the family's 1533-position model. The record is from RNAcentral.
GCCUAACACAAGCAAGUCGAGCGGAUGACGGGAGCUUGCUCCUUGAUUCAGCGGCGGACGGGUGAGUAAUGCCUAGGAAUCUGCCUGGUAGUGGGGGACAACGUUUCGAAAGGAACUGCUAAUACCUGCAUACGUCCUACGGGAGAAAGCAGGGGACCUUCGGGCCUUGCGCUAUCAGAUGAGCCUAGGUCGGAUUAGCUAGUUGGUGAGGUAAUGGCUCACCAAGGCGACGAUCCGUAACUGGUCUGAGAGGAUGAUCAGUCACACUGGAGCUGAGACACGGUCCAGACUCCUACGGGAGGCAGCAGUGGGGAAUAUUGGACAAUGGGCGAAAGCCUGAUCCAGCCAUGCCGCGUAGUGUGAAGAAGGUCUUUCGGAUUGUAAAAGCACUUUAAGUUGGGAGGAAACGGCACGUAAGUUAAUACCUUG